GCCCUGGGAAGUGCGGUCCUCAGCUCUCCAGACUCAUGAAGGCCACCACCUGCUCCAGCUUGAAGGCCAGCCUCUGUUUCCUGGCUGCAUCAUCCUGCUCCAGUGAACACACAAUCUGCCAGUCGGACAGAGAGUCUGGAUGGAUGGUGGAAUUCAUUUGAACUGGUGUGUAUCCAUGCUGACUACAGCUGCUGUGCUUCACAGACAAUCUUGUGAGGAACACCUUUGAAGCUACCAGCACCUGCAGCCGCUUGAGGACAAGCCCAGUGUUUGGCUGGAUAAUUCUGGGCGUGUGUGAGAGAGAGAGAUGACAUUUGCCAGGAAACAAGUCUUCAGAGCAAACUGAGCAAAGGAAAAGGCAGUAUCCAGAUCUUUGAAUCAGCAGAGGACCUUCAUCAUUUCCUCACAUUUGUGUUCAUGAGAGACCACAUACAGACAAACAUAGGACUAAUGAGUACGGUCCUGAGCCUGAAGCUCCUCAUUUGGUUCUACCCAUUCAAGCAGUGCACAUAUAUUCUCAUCCUGAGGCUUGCCCUGUGACGAAGCUACAGACACGAAUACACUGAACCGCUUCACAGUACCCCAUCUUUUAUUCAGGGCUUCUUCGCCUUCCCUGCUGACAAAUAAAUUUAAUAAAAUUCUCAUUUUAACAAAUUACCGUUCUGCUGCCUGCUACUCUCAAAAAUGCUUUCUCCCUCUCUCUUUUUUCUUUCCCCACACACACUUCUGCACCCUCCCAACACACCAGCUCCCUGUACUGUAGAUCUCAUGCCCUGGGCGCACCCAUCCAUUCCCACUGUGUUGUAAUUUGGAUUGUGUUUCAUGGCCCAUAGAUCACAGUGCUACAGUCAUAUUGUAUGUGUUGGAAUGAAACAUGGCUAAUGCAGGUUUUCUGAUGUUUUCACUCACAUAAGAGCCCACCCCCACACACAUUUCCUCUCUUCAUCCAUCCAGUGUUUGGUGUGUACACUUGUGUGCUUCUAUCAACGGC
Seriola aureovittata is the source of this 991-nucleotide long non-coding RNA. RefSeq lists it as uncharacterized. NCBI's taxonomy places the organism in Eukaryota, Metazoa, Chordata, Actinopteri, Carangiformes, Carangidae. The transcript has 4 exons. The record is from RefSeq and is a predicted model, not a curated record.